AUACAGAGGGUGCGAGCGUUAAUCGGAAUUACUGGGCGUAAAGCGCGCGUAGGCGGCUUAUUAAGUCAGAUGUGAAAUCCCCGGGCUCAACCUGGGAACUGCAUCUGAUACUGGUAAGCUAGAGUUUUGGAGAGGGAAGUAGAAUUUCAGGUGUAGCGGUGAAAUGCAUAGAGAUCUGAAGGAAUACCAGUGGCGAAGGCGGCUUCCUGGCCAAAAACUGACGCUGAGGUGCGAAAGCGUGGGUAGCAAACGGGAUUAGAAACCCUAGUAGUCC
This 274-nucleotide ribosomal RNA is filed under the name uncultured bacterium. RNAcentral describes it as "partial 16S ribosomal RNA". It matches the Rfam family "Bacterial small subunit ribosomal RNA", at positions 523 to 796 of the family's 1533-position model. The record is from RNAcentral.